CAACCCUCCAGCCCAGGCUCCCAGCAGGGCUGAUUCUUGCACCCUCAUCCCACCCCUAGCUAGUUUGGCUUUCUCACUCCUCCGGUCACACCCCCACAUCGAGCUCACAGCUAACCCUAAACAGCCUCCCUUCUCCCUGCAUCCCCCCACACCCGUUUUUUAAACCCCUUCUCUCCCAGCUGCUCUGCCCGUAGUUUCCUGCCUCCAGCUCUCACUGCAAACUGGCCCCAGAACCCAGGUCAAACUAAAUGUGUUUUACUGUUCCCUAGAACUCGGGGUCAUCAAUCACACGCCCUCUACUGCUGCCUUCCUAAACGGGAAAGGGCAGAAAUCACAAAGUUAUCAGCUUUGUACAAGCACUUGUUUCUCUGCGUGGCAACAGCAGGAGUCAGCAAGCUGGAAGGAAGGAGGUGUGUGCAAGUAACUGUGAUUUGCACUCCCACCAGCCCAAGAGAAGUGCAGUCUCUGCCCCACGUAAUGACACUUCUUGACAGGGCCCUUGGCCAGGCCUCAGCUUGCUCCUGUGGUUCGGGAUGAAAGUCAGUAAAAAAAUUACAGCUGCCCCUGUGAGCAGCAAUACUUCAGUACACCUGUGAGACCAGUGCCAAAUGAAGCACAGAAGUGAUCACAACAGAAAGAACAUUUCCUUCUGUCAGUCUCCAUCUUUAAUUCCAAAGUAACAGUGUUGCAGCCAAGGUUUAACAAAAUGGUUCAGCUAAUCCCUGCUAUUCACAGAUGACUGUUCACCUGCUCCACCACAGACCCUUGUCUGACCCCUUGCUGAGCUGUUUCAGCUGGCCAGAGCUGCAGCAAAGAUUCAGCUCUUAGUCAGAGUGUAACUGGGAAGCAGCAGUUCGGGGCAGUGGACACCGAGCAGCUCCCUCUCACACCUAUGCUACUGCUACAGCCAGCACCGACUGAAGAGCAGCCCCACUUCACCUCCCUUCCUGUGGGUGGUGCCUUCCUGUCUCCUCCUUUGUACAGCAUUCCUGCUUUCUGCAACUUAGCUUUCUGAACUGGACCACACAAGGGCCACUGCUGGCAUCGGGAAGGGAAGAGGAAGUCCCAGCCUGGAAGAAGAAGGAGGAUAAGAUCAGGAUGGCUCCCCUUUUGCCUAGACUGCCAUUAGCUCAGCCUUAGCUGCAAAGUGAAGCCACACACUGACCCCAGCAGCACGCAGAACCAGAUUUCUGCCUCAAUGAGACAUUUUGCAAACAUGCUAAGGCUACAAAAUGUCCAAGUUGACAAAGACAUGCAACGCUGACCAUUCAAUAAGUCACAGCUAUCACAGGAACGACUGUGUCCCCCGGGCCACAGGUCCCAAAAACAGGGAUGGUGUACAGUGAUCAUGGCAACGCACUACGCAGGACCCAGUAACCUGAGGUAGGUCAUUUACAGUAAGAAAACCAUGUCCUACACCAGUGUUACAUCCUGAUCAACAGGAACCCCUUUCAGGUUCCAGAAGACGUGGGGUCGAGGACUGCUUCCUUAACAAGUGUGCAAGAAAGAAACAGGAAUAUCCAUGUUGAUUAAUCUUAGUUUAAGUGAGCAGAACAAAGAGUUAGUGUUACCCAUGCCAGAGAAAGCCAACCUAAACCUCUGAGGAGUGUUAGCAGCUUCAAGAUAAAGAGUCAGUCAGCUGAAGCAACUCUGAAAAGGCUUUCCUGCCAGCAUACAGGGUACAAUUUGAACUUUAUGAUUACUUUGUUACAGAUCAUUCCACAAACAGUAAGAUUUUGGUUGUGUUAGAUCAGCGAAGCAGGAAGAGCUUGGGCUUGCUUGCAUUAAAAUAAACUCUGCUGAUACAGUAAGAAAUACUGUGUCAGGACACUGAAAAAAUACAAGGCCUUAAUGUGACCCAGGAGUGGUUCUCCAUUCGGAUCACUGAAAACCCUGCUUUGGAAAAGCAUCAUGGGAAGCAGCAGCCGCUGCCGUGGUGAGCAUUAGCAAUGCCCCAAAUAGCUCUGAUAAAUUACAAUGCAAUAGUUACACCACAGAGCUCUUCUCUGCUGCGCUAGACAAAGAUGUGACAAUAAAGGACACUAUUGCAAAGCUUCACUUCCACUCAGACACGCAGAAAAUCCGGCACUAGGAAAAGACGAACUGUAAAAGACAAAACAUUGUCUGAUACAGUCCGAUAACAAAGCCAGAUCUCUGGUACCAUAAACUGUACAAAAAUGAUAGAAAAGAAUAUGCACUGUUAUUAAUACAGUGCUUAUUUUAAUAUAAAAUAAACAGCUUACAUUUCCACUGUAAAUAUAGGCUAUAUACAGAAUUAUGUAUAGAUAUAGCUACAUGUAUAAAGCUUCAUUAUAGGCCUCUGAUACAUUUAUAACUAUGGCUCCCUGAGCCAUUUGUAGAGUGCAUUUAAUAACAAAAAAUUAGUAGUAUGGAAUAAAUACAAUAAUAAAAACAUGAGUUCUUCUGACAUGGUUUUUAAAACUCUCUGGCUUGACACAUUGUGCUAAAAAUUAAAAGAUGAAAAGACAAUAAUCUGCGAGGAGGAGGAAGAGCUGGCCUGCCACAGGCAGGGAGCGUAGCUCUCCAAAAUUAAAGUGACUUUGCCCUGAAUUUCAGCCCUUGACAGCAACCUUGUUCUCUGCAGCAGCAAACAUAGCAUAGAAGCGCGAGUUCUCGUUGGCCAGAAGGGCAGUCGGGGUGUCGAAUUCCACUACCUGAAACCAAACAAGGCAGGCAGCAACUGAUUCUACUGGACUCUUAUUACCAAGGAUAUGAAUGAACAGAGGAUUUUCUACCCUGCAGUGCAGCUGUUCCCUCAGUUCAGUGGCACCAGCAGACCAGAGGCAGAGAGGCUCCCUGCUCACCUGUCCCUGUGUUAGCACCAUGAUGCGAUCGCAGCCCAGGACCGUGUGCAGGCGGUGAGCGAUCGUUAACAUAGUGCAGUCUGCAAACGCCUCUCUGAUGGUCUCCUGGAUCAGUAAGUCUGUCUCUGUGUCCAUAGCAGCUGUUGCUUCAUCCAGGAUCAAUAUCUGAAAGCAGCACAGAAUUCUGGCUGUUACCCAUGGUCACACCUUCCCUCCCUGAAUAUAAAAAUACAUAUAGAGGGGGCAGAAGGGUCACAGCCAAGUGUUGUCACAGCUGGCAAUCCUUACAGAGUUGUGGGCACAAACACAGGUUUUGCAAGUACCCUUUCAGUUUCCUCUAUGUAAUUAUCUUCAACAAAGCCUACAGAUGACACUUACAUUUUUAUUGUCACAUCCUAGAGCUACACAUGGGUUAUAACCCGGCCUUUAAGUUUCUACUACUUCCAGUUUUAUAUUCCACAGAUGAAUCCCAAUUUACUGGUAAAAAUUCUGCUUGACACAUC
Passer domesticus (house sparrow) is the source of this 3328-nucleotide long non-coding RNA. RefSeq lists it as uncharacterized. The transcript is spliced from 4 exons. NCBI's taxonomy places the organism in Eukaryota, Metazoa, Chordata, Aves, Passeriformes, Passeridae. The record is from RefSeq and is a predicted model, not a curated record.